CUUUUGCUGGCGACCGGCGCACGGUGAGUAACACGUAUCCAACCUGCCCUUUACUCGGGGAUAGCCUUUCGAAAGAAAGAUUAAUACCCGAUAGCAUAAUGAUUCCGCAUGGUUUCAUUAUUAAAGGAUUCCGGUAAAGGAUGGGGAUGCGUUCCAUUAGGUUGUCGGUGAGGUAACGGCUCACCAAGCCUUCGAUGGAUAGGGGUUCUGAGAGGAAGGUCCCCCACAUUGGAACUGAGACACGGUCCGA
This 250-nucleotide ribosomal RNA is filed under the name uncultured bacterium. RNAcentral describes it as "partial 16S ribosomal RNA". It matches the Rfam family "Bacterial small subunit ribosomal RNA", at positions 78 to 334 of the family's 1533-position model. The record is from RNAcentral.